This is a non-coding RNA of Myodes glareolus (Bank vole), 1006 nucleotides long. The record is from RefSeq and is a predicted model, not a curated record. NCBI's taxonomy places the organism in Eukaryota, Metazoa, Chordata, Mammalia, Rodentia, Cricetidae.
AUGAACAAAGAUAAAAGUAAAGCAAAAUUCAAGUUCUCGCUUGGUGUCACAUGUGUCUUUGAGCAAAAGAAACCCUCAGGAAUAAGAUCAAAGAAAUGGCAAAUCCUCAAUACGAGACUAAUUAGUGGAGUUGUACAAUCUUAUGUGGAAUUGGGACUGAAAGAAGGUGAUGCACUUGCAAAGGGCCCUAUGUUAACAGUGUAUAAAGAAUCCUUUGAAUCUCAAUAUUUGGCUGACACAGAGAAAUUUUAUACCAGAGAAAGUACUGAAUUUUUGCAGCCAAACCCAGUUACUGAAUAUAUGAAAAAGCCUGAGGCUUGUUUGCUUGAGAAACAGUGGUGAGUGCAAUUUACCUCCAUGAGAACACACACAAGAUGAGUUAGCACAGAAAUGUGAGCUUUGAAAAACACUUGGAAAUCUUCCGCACAGAGUUCUAGAAUGUGUUGGAUGCUGCAAGAGUGAAGAUUUGGACCACAUUUACAAUCUUGUAUCUAGAAUUCAGGAUGGCCUAGGAGAAUUGGAAAAAACUACUAGAGACACACAUUCAUAAUCAGGGUCUUGCAGCAAUUGAGAAGUAUGGAGAAGCUGCUUUAAAUGACUCAAAGACAUAUGUGCAGACAGUCCUGGAUUACAAUGCCCUGGUGAUGUCAACAUUCAACAAUGACACUGGCUUCAUGGAUACACUUGGUAAGGCUUGCGGUCACUUCAUAAACAACAGCGCGGUUACCAAAUGGCCCAGUCAUCCAGUAAAUCUCCUGAGCUGCUAGUUCAGUACUGUGACUCCUUGUUGAAGAAAACUUCCAAGAACCCAGGAGAGGCAGAACUAGGAGACACCCUCAAUGAAGCGAUGGUGGUCUUUGAGUACAUCGAGAACAAAGAUAUGUUUCAGAAGUUCUCUGCAAAGAUGCUUGCCGAGAGACUAGUGCAUCAGAGCAGUGCUAGUGACGAUGCUCAAGCAAACAUGUUCUCCACAGUUUUUACCCGCUGGUCUCAGGCUACAGCCUGA